GCAGCCGGCUUCUCUCUCUUAAUCUAAAAGUCUGCAUCCGGCGGCUACACUGUAAAGUCGGUUGCAGAUAAUCCAAGUCAAAUCCUACCUAAUUUGUACAACUCAAUCAAGCUCAAAUGGUAGUAAUAUUCAAGAAAGGUAGCAUUAGAAACCAUGUUUCUCAUAAAGUUGACUUAAAUGGAAUGAAAAAUGAACACUCAUUAAUUAAUAAAAGUUGAGAACAAAAUGAACAAACAAUAAAUUAACUUAAAAAAAAACACUUAAAAUUUGUAAGUAAAAGUAUAAGGUAUGGUAUAUUACCCUUAUAAGCAGCCAAUUGAUCACAAAAGGAGAUUGAAGUGGAAGUGAGCUUCAAGUAACUUGAAGAAUUAUUGUGUUGAUUGGAGGCUGCAGUGAUGAAGUGUGUUGUUCAUACAUAAAGGGAACUAGCUUUUGGCUUUUACCUUCCACGUGAACUGUAUUGCACACCUCAAAUAUUAUGCCUCGUGUAGGAUAAAGUACUUAAAAAUGGUUUUUUAUGAUUAUUAGAAAAAGUUAAAUAUACUUGAGUUCUCUAUAAUUUUGGGACAUUUUUGCUUUACCAAGUUUGAUUCUUAAUUGCUU
Molecule: long non-coding RNA, 603 nt
Filed under: Trifolium pratense (red clover)
Lineage: Eukaryota; Viridiplantae; Streptophyta; Magnoliopsida; Fabales; Fabaceae
Description: long non-coding RNA (TPRA_LNC012098)
Source: RNAcentral